RNAcentral lists this ribosomal RNA (1413 nucleotides) under uncultured bacterium. RNAcentral describes it as "16S ribosomal RNA". It matches the Rfam family "Bacterial small subunit ribosomal RNA". The record is from RNAcentral.
AGUUUGAUCCUGGCUCAAGACGAACGCUGGCGGCGUGCUUAACACAUGCAAGUCGAACGGACCGAGUUGAUAGCUUGCUAUUGGUGAGGUUAGUGGCAAACGGGUGAGUAACGCGUAGGCAACCUGCCCUUCAGGUGGGGACAACACCUCGAAAGGGGUGCUAAUUCCGAAUGACGUUUCCUGGUCGCAUGACCUGGAAACCAAAGGCCGGGCAACCGGUCACUGAAGGAUGGGCCUGCGUCUGAUUAGCUAAUUGGUGGGGUAACGGCCCACCAAGGCGACGAUCAGUAGCCGGUCUGACAGGAUGAACGGCCACAUUGGGACUGAGACACGGCCCAAACUCCUACGGGAGGCAGCAGUGGGGAAUCUUCCGCAAUGGGCGCAAGCCUGACGGAGCAACGCCGCGUGAGUGAAGAAGGUUUUCGGAUCGUAAAGCUCUGUUGAGAGGGACGAGAGAUAUAAUCACGAAAUGGGUUAUACAGGACGGUACCUUUCGAGGAAGCCACGGCUAACUACGUGCCACCAGCCGCGGUAAUACGUAGGUGGCGAGCGUUGUCCGGAAUUAUUGGGCGUAAAGGGAGCGCAGGUGGGAAAGUAAGUCAGUCUUAAAAGUUCUGUGCUCAACCCCGUGAUGGGAUUGAAACUACUUUUCUUGAGUGCAGGAGAGGAAAGCGGAAUUCCUACUGUAGCGGUGAAAUGCGUAUAUAUUAGGAGGAACACCAGUGGCGAAGGCGGCUUUCUGGACUGUAACUGACACUGAGGCUCGAAAGCGUGGGGAGCGAACUGGAUUAGAUACCGUGGUAGUCCACGCCGUAAACGAUGAAUGCUAGGUGUAGGAGGUAUCGACCCCUUCUGUGCCGGAGUUAACGCAAUAAGCAUUCCGCCUGGGGAGUACGGCCGCAAGGCUGAAACUCAAAGGAAUUGACGGGGGCCCGCACAAGCGGUGGAGUAUGUGGUUUAAUUCGACGCAACGCGAAGAACCUUACCAGGGCUUGACAUUGAUUGAAACUCCCAGAGAUGGGAGCCUCCCUUCGGGGACAAGAAAACAGGUGGUGCAUGGCUGUCGUCAGCUCGUGUCGUGAGAUGCUUGGGUUAAGUCCCGCAACGAGCGCAACCCCUGUCCUGUGUUGCCAGCAUGUAAAGAUGGGAACUCACAGGAGACUGCCGCGGAGAACGCGGAGGAAGGCGGGGAUGACGUCAAGUCAUCAUGCCCUUUAUGACCUGGGAUACACACGUACUACAAUGGGAUGUACAGAGGGCAGCGAAGCCGCGAGGCGGAGCGAAUCCCAUAAAACAUCUCCCAGUUCGGAUUGCAGGCUGAGACCCGCCUGCAUGAAGUCGGAAUCGCUAGUAAUCGCAGGUCAGCAUACUGCGGUGAGUACAUUCUCCGGGGGGUGUACACACCGCCCGUCA